This 253-nucleotide ribosomal RNA is filed under the name uncultured bacterium. RNAcentral's name for it is "partial 16S ribosomal RNA". It matches the Rfam family "Bacterial small subunit ribosomal RNA", at positions 524 to 776 of the family's 1533-position model. The record is from RNAcentral.
UACGUAGGGUGCAGGCGUUAAUCGGAAUUACUGGGCGUAAAGCGUGCGCAGGCGGUCUGCUAAGUGAGGUGUGAAAUCCCCGGGCUUAACCUGGGAACUGCGCUUCUAACUGGCAGGCUAGAGUGUGGCAGAGGGGGGUGGAAUUCCACGUGUAGCAGUGAAAUGCGUAGAUAUGUGGAGGAACACCGAUGGCGAAGGCAGCCCCCUGGGUCAAGACUGACGCUCAUGCACGAAAGCGUGGGGAGCAAACAGG